RNAcentral lists this transfer RNA (72 nucleotides) under Camelus bactrianus (Bactrian camel). It matches the Rfam family "tRNA". Rfam says of the family: Transfer RNA (tRNA) molecules are approximately 80 nucleotides in length. Their secondary structure includes four short double-helical elements and three loops (D, anti-codon, and T loops). RNAcentral also lists the same sequence under 1 other name. Lineage: Eukaryota; Metazoa; Chordata; Mammalia; Artiodactyla; Camelidae. The record is from Rfam by way of RNAcentral.
GAGGGUAUAGUUCAGUGGUAGAGCGCAUGCUUAGCAUGCAUGAGGUCCUGGGUUCAAUCCCCAGCACCUCCA